This 548-nucleotide small RNA is filed under the name Pan troglodytes (chimpanzee). Its description in RNAcentral is "retained intron". Lineage: Eukaryota; Metazoa; Chordata; Mammalia; Primates; Hominidae. The record is from RNAcentral.
AAUUUCUUUCAAGGUGCUCCCAGGUGACCAUGAGUAUCCCAAAUGUAGACCCAAGAGAACUUCAUAUGAGUGGUACAUUCCUAAAGGGAUCUUAAAGACUGGCUGGAUGAAUAAGCAUCUGAAUCUGGUGCCAGCCCUGGUGGUUGUGUUCUAUGAACUGGACUGGGAUGAGCCUCAGUGGAAAGAAAAGCAGUCUGAGUGCGCCACCAGAGUGGAAAUAGUCAGGCAAAGUUUACAAGGAAGAAACACAAAAGUUGCAGUGGUUCUGAUUCAGAAGAAAACCCCUUUGCCCCCAGGAGAAGAUGUCAUUGCUUCAGAAAGGGCUGCAGCUUUAUGCAAUGCAUGUGAACUCUCAGGAAAGUCUUUGUUUGUACUGCCGCACACUGACCACCUUGUGGGUUAUAUUAUAAGAUUGGAAAAUGCCUUUUAUGAACAUGCACAGACUUAUUACUACACUGAGAUCAGAAGAGUGAAAUCUCAUAAAGAAUUUUUGAAUAAAACAACACACCAGGUACGUGAUUUUUUGCAAUAAUAGAAGCAUUCUGGAG